This 253-nucleotide ribosomal RNA is filed under the name uncultured bacterium. RNAcentral describes it as "partial 16S ribosomal RNA". It matches the Rfam family "Bacterial small subunit ribosomal RNA", at positions 524 to 776 of the family's 1533-position model. The record is from RNAcentral.
UACGUAGGUGGCAAGCGUUGUCCGGAGUUAUUGGGCGUAAAGCGCGCGCAGGCGGUGCGGUAAGUCUCUGGUGAAAGCGCUCGGCUUAACUGGGCGAGGGCCGGGGAGACUGCCACGCUGGAGGGGAGCAGAGGCGAGUGGAAUUCCGGGUGUAGUGGUGAAAUGCGUAGAGAUCCGGAGGAACACCAGUGGCGAAGGCGGCUCGCUGGGCUUUUUCUGACGCUGAGGCGCGAAAGCGUGGGGAGCGAACCGG